CCUACGGGGGGCAGCAGUGGGGAAUAUUGCACAAUGGGGGAAACCCUGAUGCAGCGACGCCGCGUGAGUGAAGAAGUAUUUCGGUAUGUAAAGCUCUAUCAGCAGGAAAGAAAAUGACGGUACCUGACUAAGAAGCCCCGGCUAACUACGUGCCAGCAGCCGCGGUAAUACGUAGGGGGCAAGCGUUAUCCGGAUUUACUGGGUGUAAAGGGAGCGUAGACGGUGAAGCAAGUCUGAAGUGAAAGGCGGGGGCUCAACCCCCGGACUGCUUUGGAAACUGUUUGACUGGAGUGCAGGAGAGGUAAGUGGAAUUCCUAGUGUAGCGGUGAAAUGCGUAGAUAUUAGGAGGAACACCAGUGGCGAAGGCGGCUUACUGGACUGUAACUGACGUUGAGGCUCGAAAGCGUGGGGAGCAAACAGGAUUAGAUACCCUUGUAG
This 438-nucleotide ribosomal RNA is filed under the name uncultured bacterium. RNAcentral's name for it is "bacterial SSU rRNA". It matches the Rfam family "Bacterial small subunit ribosomal RNA", at positions 338 to 793 of the family's 1533-position model. The record is from RNAcentral.